UACGAAGGGGGCUAGCGUUGCUCGGAAUCACUGGGCGUAAAGGGUGCGUAGGCGGGUUUUUAAGUCAGGGGUGAAAUCCUGGAGCUCAACUCCAGAACUGCCUUUGAUACUGAAGAUCUUGAGUCCGGGAGAGGUGUGUGGAACUGCGAGUGUAGAGGUGAAAUUCGUAGAUAUUCGCAAGAACACCAGUGGCGAAGGCGGCUCACUGGCCCGGUACUGACGCUGAGGCACGAAAGCGUGGGGAGCAAACAGG
RNAcentral lists this ribosomal RNA (253 nucleotides) under uncultured bacterium. RNAcentral describes it as "partial 16S ribosomal RNA". It matches the Rfam family "Bacterial small subunit ribosomal RNA", at positions 524 to 776 of the family's 1533-position model. The record is from RNAcentral.